This is an RNA transcript of Harpia harpyja (harpy eagle), 3017 nucleotides long. It is a transcript of the gene named RAD54 like, with no coding region annotated. The transcript has 19 exons. Lineage: Eukaryota; Metazoa; Chordata; Aves; Accipitriformes; Accipitridae. The record is from RefSeq and is a predicted model, not a curated record.
GCGGAGCCCGCCCAGCGCCUUUCCCGCCUCCAGCCCGGGGCGCGCGAACCGCUGCGCGCGCGGGAGGUUCUCGCUCCCCCUCACCCCUUCCCUGUGAGGCGAUGAGAAGGAGCCUGGCCCCCAGCCAGCUGGCCAAGAGGAAGGCGGGCGACGAGGAGGAGGAGGAGGAAGAGGAGGCAGACGAGGAGGCAGACCGGCAUCCCCCGACGACUCGGAAGAGACAGAAGCCUGUCAGUGAGACGGAGAGUGGAGAAUGUUACAGGUCACCUUUCCGGAAACCCUUGGCUCAGUUGACCAAUAGACCUCACUGCCUGGAUAGCAGUCAACAUGAGGCUUUUAUCCGCAGCAUUUUGUCCAAACCCUUCAAAGUCCCCAUUCCAAAUUAUAAAGGGCCACUGGGCUUGCGUGCACUGGGUAUCAAACGGGCAGGGCUGAGGAGUCCACUCCACGACCCUUUUGAGGAAGGAGCUCUGGUUCUGUACGAGCCCCCGCUGCUGAGUGCCCACGACCAGCUGAAAAUAGACAAGGACAAAGCACCUGUCCAUGUUGUGGUGGAUCCUGUCCUCAGCCGUGUUUUACGGCCCCAUCAGAGAGAAGGAGUGAAAUUCCUCUGGGACUGUGUGACGAGCCGGCGGAUCCCUGGGAGUCAUGGCUGUAUCAUGGCAGAUGAAAUGGGCCUGGGCAAAACCCUGCAGUGCAUCACACUCAUGUGGACACUUCUCCGGCAAAGUCCAGACUGCAAGCCGGAAAUUGAGAAAGCCAUGGUGGUGUCUCCCUCCAGCCUGGUGAGAAACUGGUACAAUGAAGUAGAGAAAUGGCUGGGGGGAAGGAUCCAGCCACUGGCCAUUGAUGGAGGCUCCAAAGAAGAGAUUGACCGUAAACUAGUUGGCUUUAUGAACCAGCGUGGCCUACGAGUGCCUUCACCCAUCCUGAUCAUCUCCUAUGAGACCUUCCGACUCCAUGCUGAGGCAUUACAGAAGGGCAGUGUUGGGCUGGUCAUAUGUGAUGAGGGCCAUAGACUGAAGAACUCUGAAAACCAAACAUACCAGGCUCUCAACAGCUUAAAUACACCUCGACGAGUCCUUAUCUCAGGCACCCCCAUUCAGAACGACCUGCUUGAAUAUUUCAGUCUGGUGCACUUCGUCAAUUCAGGCAUCCUAGGGACUGCACAGGAAUUUAAAAGACAUUUUGAAAUUCCCAUCUUGAAAGGCAGAGAUGCGGAUGCAAGUGAAGCUGAGCGACACAAAGGAGAAGAGAGGCUUAAAGAGCUGAUCAGCAUUGUGAACAGGUGUCUAAUCCGAAGAACUUCAGACAUCCUGUCCAAAUACCUGCCAGUGAAGAUCGAGCAGGUGGUCUGCUGCAGACUGACACCUCUGCAGGCUGAGCUGUACAAGAACUUCCUGAAGCAAGCCAAGCCAGUGGAAGAGCUGAAGGAGGGCAAAAUCAGUGUGUCAUCUCUCUCUUCCAUCACUUCCUUGAAGAAGCUCUGCAAUCACCCUGCUCUUAUCCAUGAUAAGUGUGUAGAAGAGGAAGAAGGUUUUAUGGGAGUCCUGGACUUGUUCCCUGCCGGCUACAGCACCAAAUCUGUGGAGCCCCAGCUUUCAGGAAAGAUGCUGGUUUUGGACUACAUCCUUGCUGUUACAAAAAGCACCAGCAAUGACAAGGUGGUCUUAGUGUCUAACUACACUCAGACACUGGACCUAUUUGAAAAGCUCUGCAGGAACAGAAGGUAUUUAUAUGUUCGGCUGGAUGGCACCAUGUCCAUUAAAAAGAGAGCAAAGAUUGUGGAGCGAUUCAACAGCCCCUCGAGCCCUGAGUUUAUCUUCAUGUUAAGCAGCAAAGCAGGUGGCUGUGGUUUGAAUUUAAUUGGGGCUAACAGACUGGUUAUGUUCGACCCAGACUGGAAUCCAGCUAAUGAUGAGCAGGCCAUGGCUCGUGUGUGGCGGGAUGGCCAGAAGAAGACAUGCUAUAUCUAUCGACUGCUUUCAACUGGGACCAUAGAGGAGAAGAUAUUCCAACGCCAGACCCACAAGAAGGCCCUCAGCAGCUGUGUGGUGGAUGAAGAGCAGGAUGUAGAAAGGCACUUCUCGCUUGGGGAGCUGAAGGAGCUCUUCACAUUGAAUGAGACCACCACCAGUGACACACAUGACAAGAUCAAGUGUCGUCGCUGUGUGAAUGGCCACCAGGUACGGCCCCCUCCUGAAGGGUCCGACUGUACCUCUGACCUCUCCCAGUGGAACCACUGUGCCGAUAAGCGGGGGCUGCAAGACUCCGUACUGAAGGCUGCAUGGGAUGCUGCUGUCACCUUCACCUUUCAUCAUCACUCCCAUGAGGAGCAGCGAGGGAUUCCCUAACAAACAGGUUACUGUCCCCUGUGGGGGCAAGGGCAGACUGCUGUGGCAGUCCACCCCACUUUAAUCGCUUUCAAGGAAAGGGGCAGUCAGUAGCAGUACAUGCUGGGUGGUUGUGUGGCUGUGAAAUGGUUUCCGAGAGGCUGGAAGGCCCCUAGCAUUGGUCAGUCUACUGCAACAGCAAGGAGUCCAUGGCUUUUUCUCUGCUGUUGUAUUGUGUACCUGAAAAACAGCCCUUUGGGCCCUGGGAAUAACUGGACCUUGUGCACUUGAUGAGAUUCAGCACUGGUUCUCGUGCUGUUGGUGUCUGUACCUUCUACUCAGCCAAGUUUUUCUUCAGGUUUAAGUUAAGCCUGCAGUUUUAUAGCACUAGAUGUGCACAGUUGUGUUUUUUCCUUGACAGCUCUGGCUAACAGCUGCAGAUCAGAAACUUGCAGGAUCCAUUUCUGUUGUGAAAUGUGAACCUUGCUGAUUACUCAGGAACAAGAGGAUUUGUACAACGGAAAAAAGUUUCAGCUUGUAUGAACAUCUGGCCUGAAAGAUCAUGCAGGCAGUAGGAAAUCAGGCUCUAUUAAGACAGCUCCAGCCCCUAAUCCAUAUGCAAGAACAAAGCCUCCCCAGCAGUGGAUUGCAUACAACAGCACUGCCGCUCUGUCACAGGAAGAG